This 403-nucleotide ribosomal RNA is filed under the name Verrucomicrobiota bacterium. RNAcentral describes it as "Verrucomicrobia bacterium partial 16S ribosomal RNA". It matches the Rfam family "Bacterial small subunit ribosomal RNA", at positions 355 to 776 of the family's 1533-position model. The record is from RNAcentral. Lineage: Bacteria; Pseudomonadati; Verrucomicrobiota.
UGGGGAAUAUUGCACAAUGGGGGAAACCCUGAUGCAGCGACGCCGCGUGAGCGAAGAAGGUUUUCGAAUCGUAAAGCUCUGUCCUAUGAGAAGAUAAUGACGGUAUCAUAGGAGGAAGCCCCGGCUAAAUACGUGCCAGCAGCCGCGGUAAUACGUAUGGGGCGAGCGUUGUCCGGAAUUAUUGGGCGUAAAGGGUACGUAGGCGGUCUAUUAAGUCAGGUGUGAAAGGCAUGGGCUCAACCCAUGUAAGCACUUGAAACUGGAGUGCUUGAGGGAAGGGGAGGAAAGUGGAAUUCCUAGUGUAGCGGUGAAAUGCGUAGAUAUUAGGAGGAAUACCGGUGGCGAAGGCGACUUUCUGGACUUUUUCUGACGCUGAGGUACGAAAGCGUGGGGAGCAAACAGG